GGUUCGAUGGUGUAGUUGGUUAUCACGUCAGUCUAACAAUCACGUUGGAUCACUGAAGGUCUCCAGUUCAAGUCUGGGUCGAAUCA
This is a non-coding RNA of Ascochyta rabiei, 86 nucleotides long. Lineage: Eukaryota; Fungi; Ascomycota; Dothideomycetes; Pleosporales; Didymellaceae. The record is from the annotation of a RefSeq genome assembly.